UACAGAAGUCUCAAGCGUUGUUCGGAUUCAUUGGGCGUAAAGGGUGCGUAGGUGGCGAGGUUAGUCAGGUGUGAAAUCUCGGGGCUCAACCCCGAAACUGCACUUGAUACUGCCUUGCUAGAGUACUGGAGAGGAGAUUGGAAUUUACGGUGUAGCAGUGAAAUGCGUAGAUAUCGUAAGGAAGACCAGUGGCGAAGGCGAAUCUCUGGACAGUUACUGACACUGAGGCACGAAGGCCAGGGGAGCAAACGGG
This 253-nucleotide ribosomal RNA is filed under the name uncultured bacterium. Its description in RNAcentral is "partial 16S ribosomal RNA". It matches the Rfam family "Bacterial small subunit ribosomal RNA", at positions 524 to 776 of the family's 1533-position model. The record is from RNAcentral.